This is a long non-coding RNA of Ictalurus punctatus (channel catfish), 6067 nucleotides long. NCBI's taxonomy places the organism in Eukaryota, Metazoa, Chordata, Actinopteri, Siluriformes, Ictaluridae. The record is from Ensembl.
UACUACUGCUACUACUACUGCUACUACACUACUACUUCUAUUACCAAUACCACUACAACUACUACUACACUACUACUACCACUACUACAACUACCACCACUACUAUUAGUACUACUGCUACUACUACUACCACUACUAUUACUACUACUACUGCUACUACACUACUACUUCUAUUACCAAUACCACCACUACUACUACUGCUACUACCACCACUACAACUACUACUGCUACUACAACCACUACUAUUAGUACUACUGCUACUACUACUACACUACUAUUAGUACUACUGCUACUACUAUUACUAUUACUAAUACCACUACUACUGCUAUUACACUACUACUGCUACUAAUACCACCACCACCACUACUACUACUGCUACUACACUACUACUACUACUACCACCACUACUAUUACUAUCACUACUGCUACUACACUACUACUACUACUACUACUACUACCACCACUACUAUUACUAUCACUACUGCUACUACACUACUACUGCUACUACUACCGCUACUACCAUUACUAUUACUACUACUACCACCACCACUACUCCUACUACUCCUACUACUACUACCACUACUAUUACUACUGCUACCGCUACUACCACUACUACUACUACCACCACUUCUACUCCUACUACUCCUACUACUACUACCACUACUACUGCUACUACUACCACUACUACUGCUACUACUACCACUACUAUUACUACUGCUACCGCUACUACCACUACUACUGCUACUACCACUACUAUUACUACUGCUACUACUACAACUAUUACUACUGCUACUACUACCACUACUACGACUACCACUACUAUUACUACUGCUACUACCACUACUAUUACUACUGCUGCUGCUACUACUACUACUACCACAGCUACUACUACUAUUACUAAUACCUCUACUACUACUACUGCACUACUACUACUUACUAUUACUACUUCUACCACUACUACGUCUAAUAUUAUAAACUACUACUAUUACUACUACUACCACCACUAUUACUACUAUUACUACUUCUACCACUACUACUACUACCUCUAUUACUACUUCUUCUAUACUACUACUACUACUACUACUACUACUACUACUACCAUUACUCAGUUUAUGGAUUUUAAUUUAAAUAAACGACAAAAUGGUACUCGAAGUUUGCCCCGCCCCAAUUAAUCGAAAAAAAAAAAAAAUCAGCCAACUAAUCGAUUAUGAAAAUAAUGGUUAGUUGCAUCCCUACACUUGAGUAAGAAAUCAUUUGCAAUCCUAUGUACAGAAACAUCGCUUUAUACGCACCUUCCCAUUAAAACUGUAUUUUAUUGUACACGUUGAGUUGUUUCCUGAGAAAAAUUGUGCAAAUUGUGCCGAAUACUGUCAAUGCACUCAAACAGGCCAAAAUGUUGCACAGCGCAGUGGCGAUGCAGCUGCACCGAGAUCAAUUUCAACAUUGCUUACUCAGAAAAGUGUGCAAGAGGAACAAAGGUCUUUCACAUCAGAAGCGCAAGAGGCACGAGCAUGUUAAUGUGCGGGCAUGGCUCUUAUAUCUUAUGUGGAACAUGUAAAGUGUACACGUUAAUGUGAGUGCAUGUGUGUAUAUAUAUAUAUAUAUAUAAAUACAUAUAUAUAGAGCAGUGAAGUCAAUAUUUGUCGUGUUGACCCUUUGCUUUAAAAAACAAUGAGUGCCUGAAAAUUGGCCCGGAAACCAGGAAUCUUCCGUCCAUCUGAGACUCGGACAAAGUUGACCAUCUUAUAAGUUAACUUGUCUGGUUGAGCGUUAAAAUAAAAGAGAUGUCAUUAUUUCCCAGCGUUCUCUGGUCAUGUAUGAACGCAUUGGUCCCCGGCAGGGUUCCAGCAAUGCACUUAACGUGUAAGGGUGUGGAUCUUCCCACAUUUCCGCAACGGUUACUUCGGCGACGUUCCGGAUUUUAUGCAUGAAAAGGGCUUUUUGAAACUAAAUCUAAAUUUCAGAUCUUAUCCGAUUCAACCGGGCCACCGCUCUUUCCAUUAUCUCCCGAAUGGUUCGUAGGAACAGCAUGAAUCACGUUCGUUCCGCCUUUCCGCAAAGCCAUAAUAACACCGCUUCCAAACACUUACCCCACACACUGUGUGCACUUGCGGACUGGUAGUAAUGAAAUCGUCUCUAAAGGUCCACUAGUCAUCAGGUGCUAUUUAUGGGCUGUGCUUAUGGAAAAACAUCCCUCAGUUCCGCAGUUCUACGAAAUCCAUUAGUGUAUUUGAUUACAGUGCGGUCUUGUAUAGUCGUAUGGAUGACAUGCCGGUGCCAUUACUUAAAAUGCAAAAAUGGCCACGAUACUGGGAAAUCAAACCCGAGUGAUUGAGAGCUGAUCACGUCCCAGCAUUACAUCACGUUAGAUCAUCUAGACCGCUUUACGUUCCAUCCACUGAUGGAUUGAGGUGGCUGGCCUCGAAAACGGUCAAUAAACUGAUUGAUGGAUUGUGUCGUUUAUUUCGUCUCUCGACGGGAUUUUACCGUAGACCCAUUUCGCUGGGAGAAGCCGUGGACCCGGAGAUGCUUUUUAUUUAUUUGUUAUUUAUUUAUUUAUUUUAAACGGGACGGUUUCAACACUCUAGGGUCAGUUUUCAAAGGUGUUUUGGAGAAGUGUUGUACACAGACACGGUCCUCGAGCAGAGGGAGAUUAUCACAGCAGACGCUUAGCGUCAAGCGCGUAUAGGAUAACGAAGAAGGGCGAAUGAUGGCCGACGCGGAGACCCACACAUACACAUCCGUCUGCUCGCUCUUUGAUCUGUCGUUUUGUUUUCAUGACCAUAUGAGUCAUGGUUUUAUAUAGAAUCCCAGAUCACCACGUCUGAGAGAUACAGCUUGUCCAAGUCGGAGAGCUACGGUGGCUUGUUUUCUGUAGUUGAGAAUGUUCUUUUUUUAAAGAAAAAAAUGUUCUUUUUUUUAAAAAAAAAUAAAUAAAUAAUAGAUAUAAAUAGAUAAAAUUGUGGAAUUGGUUUAUUUGGAGGAAAUGGCGUUUGUGGGUUAACACAGUUCUGUGUCAUCGCUCUCAGGCAUUGUCGUGUGUACUUUAGAGAAGUGCAUGUUUGUGUGCUCUGGCAACCUCGCCAGAUGGUGCUGGGAGUGUGAGGGCUGUGAGGGCACCCACUCCCAGAGGAGAGGUUGGUGUGUGUGUGUGUGUGUGUGUGAAAGGAGAGGAGGGGUUUUAGAAAGGCAUGUAGGCUCAUUUAGGUCAGAGUACAGCAUGUUGUCAAAUCCGGCAUAGGCAGGCUGAUCGUCAGAAGUGUGUGUGUGUGUGUGUGUAUUAUUUUGCUAUGUUUUCUAUACAAAAUGUAUAGGAAUAUCAGACAGUUUUGGUCUUGUGGAAACAUUUAUCACGAGGAAAAACUCACUUUUAUUUGAAAAACUACGGUUACUAAGGUUAAGGUAGGGGUUACAUUUAGUUGUAGCAUAGCAUAAAUAAACCCCAUUAACAAUUCAACCAAUGGAAGGUCCUCGCAAGGGUAGUCAGACGUGUACGUGUGUGUGUUUGCGUGGAUGAAUAUCUCAGAACAGAUUCUGUCAGGCUUUAACGGUUUGCUCCGGUCAACGGCGUUAAGUCACAUCAGAUAACCGGUAAAGGUUCAAGACGUCUGAUUAUUACUUUAGAUCUGCUCUCCUGCCUGCCUGCUCUUUCAUCUGGCAACCACAUCAGCUCAGUGAAGUGCUCCAGAGCUUUCUCCAGCACUCAUUCACGUGGAAGUAGUACACACACACCAUGAUAAUUACCAGUCAUGACCGCUCAGCGUCAUGUGUUUUUCUCCCCAAAGCAUGUCCCUCUGUGUUUACUCAGCCAUGUGUGUGGUUUCUGUAACUCAGCCCCGUGUGUAACGUCUCUCAUCGACACGUCGGCGAGUUUUCACUUCGGUUAAUGUUUUCCUACACUACCCACUACGCCAUCCGACCGCCUGCUGAUCGUGGCGCCACCGGGAACAUCUCCUCAUCUCUGUUUAACGAGAGCGGUUGCAGCGGCGCUUUAGUCCUUUCGUAUGUCCAGGUCUCUCUCGCCUCCGCAUCCAAACAGAACUUCGCGGCCGUCGUCCUGUAGAUCUCCGACUAGCCGGGCGGAUUCUCCGCCGUAACUCGGCGAAGCGACAUCGUAUAACCGCGCUGCAUUCUGGGACUCCGAGUCCAGCGUUUGCUUCGCCGUGUUGGAUUUCUUAUUAAUAUUGUGAGUGGGGAAAAUAUCUCUUUUGUUUUCCCAAAUAUUGAGUAUAUUUAUGCAUUGCCUUUCCAUGACCGAUAUUCUGUAAAUGGUGCAGGGGCCAAAGGUCAUUAGGUAACCUGAUGCAGGACGUGCAUGCACCUGUCCAUCGUGACUCCAUGGAUCGUAAAUAAAUUAUUUUAUCAUUCAGGUUGGCGAGUCUCGUGAACUUUGCUCUAAGGCGUUCAGUGUUUUCGGGAAUUUAUGACAGACUUCAAAUAUUUCCCUUUUUUUUUUUUUCUUUUUUUUUUUCCGGUUGUCUAUUUAAAGUAACAUCCAGUGACACGCAAUCACGACAAAACAAACAACCAAAGUGCAGAACGCAUCAGAGGAAGAACAGGGUAUCCGUUAUUCAUUUUUGCUCGUGUUGUACGCUCGCUAUCCAACCAUUUUUUUGCCUUUAUUUUCGUGGCACUCGUCGGUGGAAAUUAUUAGGAGCAAAAUGUCCGUGUGCAGUGAACACGUCGAGAGUGAAGGUGCUGCAGCUGUGUGUCUGAUCUGAUCACGCGAGCCUCGUUCGCAGGAGGAAGAUCUCCUAAUAUUUCUCGAUUUCGUGAACGUAACUGAAUUUGAAUGCGGCCAUCUAGACUGUCUGCCUCACAAAAUGCCUUGAAGCAUCAUCUGUGUGUGUGUGUGCGCGUGUGUGUGUGCGUGACAUAAACACAUACACGAUGGACUUGACUGUUAUAUGAAUAGAUACAGGUAUAACUUAUGAAUGAGAGAGACAGAGAGUGAGUGAGAGAGAGAUACUGAGAGAGAUAGUGUGAGAGCGAGAGAGUGAGAGAGAUAGUGAGUGUGUGUGUGAGAGAGAUAGUGAGUGUGAGAGAGAUAGUGAGAGAGAUAGUGAGAAGAGAUAGUGAGUGUGAGAGAGAGAUAGUGAGUGUGAGAGAGAUAGUGAGAGAGAUAGUGAGUGUGAGAGAGAGAUAGUGAGAGAGAGAUAGUGGUGUGAGAGAGAUAGUGAGUGUGAGAGAGAGAUAGUGAGUGUGAGAGAUAGUGAGAGAGAUAGUGAGUGUGAGAGAGAUAGUGAGAGAGAUAGUGAGUGUGAGAGAGAUAGUGAGAGAGAUAGUGAGUGUGAGAGAGAGAUAGUGAGAGAGAUAGUGAGUGUGAGAGAGAUAGUGAGAGAGAUAGUGAGUGUGAGAGAGAGAUUGAGUGUGAGAGAGAGAUAGUGAGUGUGAGAGAUAGUGAGAGAGAUAGUGAGUGUGGAGAGAGAUAGUGAGAGAGAUAGAUAGUGUGUGAGAGAGAGAUAGUGUGAGAGAGACAGAGAGAGAGAAUUUCUAUUACGACUGGAAGAUAUAAUGUUGAUAAUAUCGUCACGUCUGUAACACUGAUACUGAGUAACACCUUCAUUGUUCCUCACUAAUUACUAAGGAAUGAAGCACGACAGGGUGUGCUAAUAUAACAAACUAACCGACGACUAUUUUCCUACACCGGCAUGCCACAAAGUGCUGUAGAGUAUUUCAUGUCUCUUGCAUUUCCAAUGAUCUCAAUUAGAAUUUGUAACAGGACCACAACUCCAACCUUACAACUGUUUUCAGCAUCGAUCCGGGUUGCCACUGCCGUUAUAAACACCCCUCCCCUCGCCAUCCUUUCUUUUCUCGUUAUGGUACCGAGAAACUACAAAUCACGACCUUCUCUGUCUUGAGGUCUCUUCCAUGGCGGAAAACAUCGUUUUCACGUGCUGACACUGGAGACUCCUUCCUAAAAUAAACAUCUCCAUAUAGCAAAGAUGACCAUAACAAUAUCACGAAGUACACAUUUUAAUCCGUUUAUUACGAGUCUGAGACGAUGUAAAAGACCCUGUGUAAACAACAGUAAGCCGGUCGGAUUUACGAAUUCAGCACUAGAUUA